CCCGCCGGACCUGACUGCUAUCGGAUUGAUACUAAGCCAUGCGAGUCAUUGUAGCAAUACAAGGCAGACGGCUCAGUAACGCGUAGUCAACCUACCCUAUGGACGGGAAUAACCUCGGGAAACUGAGUAUAAUGCCCGAUAGAACAUUAUGCCUGGAAUGGUUUAUGUUCCAAAUGAUUUAUCGCCGUAGGAUGGGACUGCGGCCUAUCAGUUUGUUGGUGAGGUAAUGGCCCACCAAGACUAUUACAGGUACGGGCUCUGAGAGGAGUAGCCCGGAGAUGGGUACUGAGACACGGACCCAGGCCCUAUGGGGCGCAGCAGGCGAGAAAACUUUGCAAUGUGCGAAAGCACGACAAGGUUAAUCCGAGUGAUUUCUGCUAAAGAAAUCUUUUACCAGUCGUAAAACCACUGGUGAAUAAGGGGUGGGCAAGUUCUGGUGUCAGCCGCCGCGGUAAAACCAGCACCUCAAGUGGUCAGGAUGAUUAUUGGGCCUAAAGCAUCCGUAGCCGGCUUUGUUAGUUUUCGGUUAAAUCCAUGUGCUCAACGCAUGGGCUGCCGAAAAUACUGCAUAGCUAGGGAGUGGGAGAGGUAGACGGUACUCAGUAGGAAGGGGUAAAAUCCUUUGAUCUAUUGAUGACCACCUGUGGCGAAGGCGGUCUACCAGAACACGUUCGACGGUGAGGGAUGAAAGCUGGGGGAGCAAACCGGAUUAGAUACCCGGGUAGUCCCAGCUGUAAACGAUGCAGACUCGAUGAUGCAUUGGCAUAAUAGCCAGUGCAGUGUCGCAGGGAAGCCGUUAAGUCUGCCGCCUGGGAAGUACGUACGCAAGUAUGAAACUUAAAGGAAUUGGCGGGGGAGCACCACAAGGGGUGAAGCCUGCGGUUCAAU
This 888-nucleotide ribosomal RNA is filed under the name uncultured marine group I thaumarchaeote. Its description in RNAcentral is "SSU rRNA". It matches the Rfam family "Archaeal small subunit ribosomal RNA", at positions 13 to 906 of the family's 1478-position model. Lineage: Archaea; Thermoproteati; Nitrososphaerota. The record is from RNAcentral.